CAAUAAUGAAUUCUCCUGUCGAAGCAUUCUCGGAGUAGAUAUUGAUGCUGUUACGGUCAGGCAAUCAAGGUAAACUGGGCAUAUGCCAGUGGCCAGAGGGAGGUUACAUCAGGCCACUUCAACAUCUUUGUUGGUGACCUAAGUCUUGAAGUCACUGAUGCGACUCUAUUUGCAUGCUUUUCAGUGUAUUCCAGCUAUUUAGAUGCAUAGGUUAUGUGGGAUCAUAAAACUGGGCGCUCAAGAGGAUUUGGCUUUGUUUCUUUUCAUAAUCAGCAGAUGGAGGAGGUCAAUAGAAUGCAAGUGACGAGGCCCCUGAAAACAACCCUGCAUUUACAACCGUCUAUGUUGGUAAUCUUGUACAUGAGGUAAAAUAAAGGAACUGAGACAUUGUGUUGGCUGCAUGGUUUGUACAAUUGAGAGAAAAAAAAUGUCCCUAAAAUUGAUGGCCAUGCUUUGCAGCAUGUUUAUUUUUAUCAUCUGUGCUGACAUUUCCUGUUUUUCCUGUUUCAAUGGCCAAUUCGUCAGGCGACUCAAACUGAACUCCAUCGCCAGUUUCAUUCUCUUGGGGCUGGUGUCAUUGAAGAAGUGUGUGUACAGAGAGAUAAAGGUUUUGGAUUUGUAAGGUACUAGUACCACACACAUGAUCAAGAAGCCCUGGCCAUGGGAUCUAUGCUGGCACCUGGCCACUUAAUCGCGUACCCAUGGAUAGCAGCAGCAUUACUCAAUCAGCAACUAUUUCCUAGAAUCUUCCACGAGUUGGACAUAUAACUGUUUCCCAUGAAUGGAUUAUAAAUUGAUUAAAAUGAAUGAUUGUGCACAGGUUUAUAAA
Long non-coding RNA from Magnolia sinica, 829 nucleotides. RefSeq lists it as uncharacterized. The transcript is spliced from 5 exons. Lineage: Eukaryota; Viridiplantae; Streptophyta; Magnoliopsida; Magnoliales; Magnoliaceae. The record is from RefSeq and is a predicted model, not a curated record.